RNAcentral lists this transfer RNA (71 nucleotides) under Bacillus sp. UFRGS-B20. RNAcentral describes it as "tRNA-OTHER". It matches the Rfam family "tRNA". From Rfam's summary of the family: Transfer RNA (tRNA) molecules are approximately 80 nucleotides in length. The record is from RNAcentral. Lineage: Bacteria; Bacillati; Bacillota; Bacilli; Caryophanales; Bacillaceae.
GAGCCAUAGCUCAGUUGUAGAGCAUUCUGACUUUAAUCAAGAGGUCGAAGGUUCGAGUCCAUCAUGGCUCA